This 432-nucleotide long non-coding RNA is filed under the name Hordeum vulgare. RNAcentral describes it as "long non-coding RNA (HVUL_LNC011024)". Lineage: Eukaryota; Viridiplantae; Streptophyta; Magnoliopsida; Poales; Poaceae. The record is from RNAcentral.
CUCACAGUAUGAGCUCUUGGGACAUCCCGUACGAGUGCGACGGAGGGCUGAAAGGGUAGCCCGUUUUGUUGCCUCGUAUCAUGCCAUUCGGCGGCCCGCAACACACAAUGAUCUUCAGAAGGAUCUGAUUGAAGAGUGGUGGGCAUGGCAUGAACGACAAAGAGCAUGCUUUGAUUGCAUUAUUUGUAUUGUAUUGUCCAUGAACUAUUGGUUGUGUUUAUUGCAUUAUUUGUUGUACUGAACGAUAAACUAUUUGUUUGAGUUGUAAUAACUAUUUAUUGUUGAUUUAUUUUGUUUGUUUGAUCGUUUUCUCCUAUUUUUUGAAAUGUAUAUGUGGUUUGUGCGUGCUGCGCGCGCUGCAUUUUUGGGCACUGCUAGAGCGGCGCGCGCGCGCUGCAUUAUAGCGCGGCUGUUGGAGCCAGCGCCUAUCCC